This 253-nucleotide ribosomal RNA is filed under the name uncultured bacterium. RNAcentral's name for it is "partial 16S ribosomal RNA". It matches the Rfam family "Bacterial small subunit ribosomal RNA", at positions 524 to 776 of the family's 1533-position model. The record is from RNAcentral.
GACGAACCGUGCGAGCGUUGUUCGGAAUCACUGGGCUUAAAGGGCGCGUAGGCGGGCUGUCAAGUCUGGGGUGAAAUGCCGCGGCUCAACCGUGGAACUGCCUUAGAUACUGACGGCCUCGAGGGAGGUAGGGGCGUGCGGAACUGUAGGUGGAGCGGUGAAAUGCGUUGAUAUCUACAGGAACUCCGGUUGCGAAAGCGGCGCGCUGGACCUCUUCUGACGCUGAGGCGCGAAAGCUAGGGGAGCAAACGGG